Molecule: long non-coding RNA, 1953 nt
Filed under: Canis lupus familiaris (dog)
Lineage: Eukaryota; Metazoa; Chordata; Mammalia; Carnivora; Canidae
Description: lncRNA (ENSCAFG00040010620.1)
Source: RNAcentral
CUCGCUUCCGGGACAAGGAAGCCGUUUCCGGCAGGUGUCAAACGCCCUGUCCUAAUCAUAGACACCUAGGCCUGGAGGAUUUGUGAGAAUCCCAUCUAAUGACCAGCACGUAGAAGGUGCUCCACUUCACAAGGCCUCUCUGGUUCUUCACAUUGGAACACAAUGCUGGAUUCACACCGAGGCUUCCUCAUCUCCAGGCUUUGUGGCAUCUCUUCUCCAGACUUUUGCUCGCUCUUCUUCUCUGAGUCUCCUCACACAACGUCCUAGGAUAAACCUACUUCCCACUACUGAACAGGGUUUGGAGGACAACCUUUUAUUUCCUUCAGAGUUACUUGCUUCUCCCUGGGGACUUUCUCGGUAGCUUGGUCCCAGCAGUUGUGAGCAGUAGGUACUCAACCCAAAGCGGAGGAGUAGGUACUUAACCCAAAUCUGUUGUCUUCCUUUUGGGCUUUCCUGGUGUGAUACAGUGAGGAAGGUGCCCCUGGGAAGGAAUUUGCUGACAUGUUGAGGACUCCUGAGGUGACUUCAUGGAGUUGAGUGGAUGGUGACUCAUCUGUUUGUAUCUCUCAGUAGCAAUGCUUUCCCAGCCUCUCUUAGGUUCCUUUGCAUUAUUAGCCUUUACAGUGAAUAUCAACUCUCUGCUUGACUUAUUUUAAAACUUUAUUAUUUUAACCGACUUUGUCCUGGGCUGUUGUGAUUUAUAAUAAGAAAUAAAUAUUUGGUCCUCAUCUUGUUUCUGGCAUAGAGCUCCCAAAACUUUUGGAAUUUCUUAAGUGAUGAAUGUGAUACAAAUGUCUUUGUGAUGUUCAUUAGGUGACUUUGGGAAAGACCUUAAGUCACCUAAGGAUGGGGUCUGGUUGCCAGGGGGACCAGUGUUGUAGUUAGAGGUUUGUUUAUUUAUUUAUUUAUUUUUAAAUAUUUUAUUUAUUUAUUCAUGAGAGAUACACAGAGAGAGAGGCAGAGACACAGGCAGAGGGAGAAGCAGGCCCCAUGCGGAGGACUCGAUCCUGGAUAUCCAGGAUUGCGCCCUGGGCCAAAGGUGGUGCCAAACCACUGAGCCACCUGGGCUGCCCUAUAGUUAGAGGUUUAGAUUGAGUUCAGUCACCAAUGGCCAAUGAUUUAAUGCCUAAAUAAUAAAGCCUUCAUACAACUCAAAUGGAUGGGGUUCAGGGAGGUUCUAGGUUGAUGAACUAACUUGUGAAGAUUUGGGGAGGGUGGUAUGCUCAGAGAGGGUGUGGAAGCUCAUGGCCCUUUCCCCAUAUCUUGCCCUAUGCAUCUCUUCUACCUGGCUCUACCUGGCUCUUCCUCUUAUAACAAACUGGUAAUCUAGUAAGUAAAAUGUUUCUUUAAGUUCUGUGGGCCACUUUAGGACGUUAAUGAAACUCAAGGAGAGGUACUGUUGAAACUUUAUUUUUCUUUGUAUAUUUUUUUUAUUGGAGUUUGAUUUGCCAACAUAUAGUAUAACACCCAGUGCUCAUCCCGUCAAGUGACCCCCUCAGUGUUCCGUCACCCAGUCACCCCAACCCCCUGCCCACCUCCCUUCCACUACCCUUGUUCAUUUCCCAGAGUUAGGAGUCUCUCAUGUGCUAUCACCCUUACUGAUAUUUUCCACUCAUUUUCUCUCCUUUCCCUUUAUUCCCUUUCACUAUUUUUUAUAUUCCCCAAAUGAAUGAAACCAUAUAAUGAUUGUCCUUCUCCGAUUGACUUUCUUCACUCAGCAUACUACCCUCCAGUUCUAUCCAUGUUGAAGCAAAUGGUGGGUAUUUGUCAUUUCUAAUGGCUGAGUAAUAUUCCAUUGUAUACAUAGACCACAGCUUCUUUAUCCAUUCAUCUUUCGAUGGACACCGAGGCUCCUUCCACAGUUUGGCUAUUGUGGACAUUGCUGCUGUAAACAUUGGGGUGCAGGUGUCCUGCCAUUUUACUGCAUCUGUAUCUUUGGGGUAUAUCCCCAGC